This 163-nucleotide ribosomal RNA is filed under the name Brachypodium hybridum. RNAcentral describes it as "5.8S ribosomal RNA". It matches the Rfam family "5.8S ribosomal RNA". Rfam says of the family: 5.8S ribosomal RNA (5.8S rRNA) is a component of the large subunit of the eukaryotic ribosome. It is transcribed by RNA polymerase I as part of the 45S precursor that also contains 18S and 28S rRNA. Lineage: Eukaryota; Viridiplantae; Streptophyta; Magnoliopsida; Poales; Poaceae. The record is from RNAcentral.
GACACGACUCUCGGCAACGGAUAUCUCGGCUCUCGCAUCGAUGAAGAACGUAGSGAAAUGCGAUACCUGGUGUGAAUUGCAGAAUCCCGCGAACCAUCGAGUCUUUGAACGCAAGUUGCGCCCGAGGCCACCCGGUCGAGGGCACGCCUGCCUGGGCGUCACG